This 120-nucleotide ribosomal RNA is filed under the name uncultured bacterium. RNAcentral describes it as "partial 16S ribosomal RNA". It matches the Rfam family "Bacterial small subunit ribosomal RNA", at positions 215 to 334 of the family's 1533-position model. The record is from RNAcentral.
UCGCCUGAGGAUGAGCCCGCGUCGGAUUAGCUAGUUGGUGAGGUAAAGGCUCACCAAGGCGACGAUCCGUAGCUGGUCUGAGAGGAUGAUCAGCCACACUGGGACUGAGACACGGCCCAG